Molecule: ribosomal RNA, 486 nt
Filed under: uncultured bacterium
Lineage: Bacteria
Description: partial 16S ribosomal RNA
Rfam family: Bacterial small subunit ribosomal RNA
Source: RNAcentral
AUUGAACGCUGGCGGCAUGCCUUACACAUGCAGGUCGAACGGCAGCACGGGUGCUUGCACCUGGUGGCGAGUGGCGAACGGGUGAGUAAUACAUCGGAACAUGUCCUGUAGUGGGGGAUAGCCCGGCGAAAGCCGGAUUAAUACCGCAUACGAUCCACGGAUGAAAGCGGGGGACCUUCGGGCCUCGCGCUAUAGGGUUGGCCGAUGGCUGAUUAGCUAGUUGGUGGGGUAAAGGCCUACCAAGGCGACGAUCAGUAGCUGGUCUGAGAGGACGACCAGCCACACUGGGACUGAGACACGGCCCAGACUCCUACGGGAGGCAGCAGUGUGGAAUUUUGGACAAUGGGCGAAAGCCUGAUCCAGCAAUGCCGCGUGUGUGAAGAAGGCCUUCGGGUUGUAAAGCACUUUUGUCCGGAAAGAAAUCCUUGACUCUAAUACAGUCGGGGGAUGACGGUACCGGAAGAAUAAGCACCGGCUAACUACGUG